Molecule: ribosomal RNA, 468 nt
Filed under: uncultured bacterium
Lineage: Bacteria
Description: partial 16S ribosomal RNA
Rfam family: Bacterial small subunit ribosomal RNA
Source: RNAcentral
GACGAACGCUGGCGGCGUGCUUAACACAUGCAAGUCGAACGGAAAGGCCCUGCUUUUGUGGGGUGCUCGAGUGGCGAACGGGUGAGUAACACGUGAGUAACCUGCCCUUGACUUUGGGAUAACUUCAGGAAACUGGGGCUCAUACCGGAUAGGAGCUCCUGCUGCAUGGUGGGGGUUGGAAAGUUUCGGCGGUUGGGGAUGGACUCGCGGCUUAUCAGCUUGUUGGUGGGGUAGUGGCUUACCAAGGCUUUGACGGGUAGCCGGCCUGAGAGGGUGGCCGGCCACAUGGGGACUGAGAUAGGGCCCAGACGCCUACGGGAGGCAGCAGGGGGGAGUAUUGCACAAUGGGCGGAAGCCUGAUGCAGCAACGCCGCGUGCGGGAUGACGUGCUUCGGGUUGUAAACCGCUUUCGCCUGUGACGAAGCGGGAGUGACGGUAAUGGGUAAAGAAGCAACGGCUAACUACGUG